This 790-nucleotide ribosomal RNA is filed under the name Micrococcus sp. enrichment culture clone SRC_MC2. RNAcentral describes it as "bacterial SSU rRNA". It matches the Rfam family "Bacterial small subunit ribosomal RNA", at positions 690 to 1475 of the family's 1533-position model. Lineage: Bacteria; Bacillati; Actinomycetota; Actinomycetes; Micrococcales; Micrococcaceae. The record is from RNAcentral.
GCAGAUAUCAGGAGGAACACCGAUGGCGAAGGCAGGUCUCUGGGCUGUAACUGACGCUGAGGAGCGAAAGCAUGGGGAGCGAACAGGAUUAGAUACCCUGGUAGUCCAUGCCGUAAACGUUGGGCACUAGGUGUGGGGACCAUUCCACGGUUUCCGCGCCGCAGCUAACGCAUUAAGUGCCCCGCCUGGGGAGUACGGCCGCAAGGCUAAAACUCAAAGGAAUUGACGGGGGCCCGCACAAGCGGCGGAGCAUGCGGAUUAAUUCGAUGCAACGCGAAGAACCUUACCAAGGCUUGACAUGUUCUCGAUCGCCGUAGAGAUACGGUUUCCCCUUUGGGGCGGGUUCACAGGUGGUGCAUGGUUGUCGUCAGCUCGUGUCGUGAGAUGUUGGGUUAAGUCCCGCAACGAGCGCAACCCUCGUUCCAUGUUGCCAGCACGUAGUGGUGGGGACUCAUGGGAGACUGCCGGGGUCAACUCGGAGGAAGGUGAGGACGACGUCAAAUCAUCAUGCCCCUUAUGUCUUGGGCUUCACGCAUGCUACAAUGGCCGGUACAAUGGGUUGCGAUACUGUGAGGUGGAGCUAAUCCCAAAAAGCCGGUCUCAGUUCGGAUUGGGGUCUGCAACUCGACCCCAUGAAGUCGGAGUCGCUAGUAAUCGCAGAUCAGCAACGCUGCGGUGAAUACGUUCCCGGGCCUUGUACACACCGCCCGUCAAGUCACGAAAGUCGGUAACACCCGAAGCCGGUGGCCUAACCCUUUGGGGGAGCCGACCAGCGGUGGCCCCUCACCCC